Molecule: ribosomal RNA, 251 nt
Filed under: uncultured bacterium
Lineage: Bacteria
Description: partial 16S ribosomal RNA
Rfam family: Bacterial small subunit ribosomal RNA
Source: RNAcentral
UACGUAGGUGGCAAGCGUUGUCCGGAAUUAUUGGGCGUAAAGCGCGCGCAGGCGGUUCUUUAAGUCUGAUGUGAAAGCCCACGGCUCAACCGUGGAGGGUCAUUGGAAACUGGAGAACUUGAGUACAGAAGAGGAAAGCGGAAUUCCACGUGUAGCGGUGAAAUGCGUAAAGAUGUGGAGGAACACCAGUGGCGAAGGCGGCUUCUGGUCUGUAACUGACGCUGAGGCGCGAAAGCGUGGGAGCAAACAGG